RNAcentral lists this ribosomal RNA (365 nucleotides) under uncultured bacterium. RNAcentral describes it as "bacterial SSU rRNA". It matches the Rfam family "Bacterial small subunit ribosomal RNA", at positions 1116 to 1482 of the family's 1533-position model. The record is from RNAcentral.
UGCCAUCAUUGAGUUGGGCACUCUGGAGGGACUGCCGGUGUCAAACCGGAGGAAGGUGGGGAUGACGUCAAGUCCUCAUGGCCUUUAUGACCAGGGCUACACACGUGCUACAAUGGCCGGUACAAAGGGUCGCCAACUCGCGAGAGGGAGCUAAUCCCAAAAAACCGGUCUCAGUUCGGAUUGGAGUCUGCAACUCGACUCCAUGAAGUCGGAAUCGCUAGUAAUCGCAGAUCAGCACGCUGCGGUGAAUACGUUCCCGGGCCUUGUACACACCGCCCGUCACACCAUGGGAGUCGAUUGCUCCAGAAGUCGGUGCGCCAACCGCAAGGAGGCAGCCGCCCAAGGAGUGGUCGGUAACUGGGGUG